AAUGAACGUUGGCGGCGUGGAUUAGGCAUGCAAGUCGAGCGAGAUUCUUAGCAAUAAGAUGAAAGCGGCAAAAUGGAUAGUAACACGUGGAUACAUACCCUUGGGUCUGGGAUAGCGGCGGGAAACUGCCGGUAAUACCAGAUAAAGUCUUCGGACCAAAGAUUUAUUGCCCGAGGAGUGGUCCGCGUCCUAUUAGGUAGUUGGCGGGGUAAUGGCCCACCAAGCCGAAGAUGGGUAGCGGGUGUGAGAGCAUGGCCCGCAUCACUGGGACUGAGACACUGCCCAGACACCUACGGGUGGCUG
This 303-nucleotide ribosomal RNA is filed under the name uncultured Planctomycetota bacterium. RNAcentral describes it as "bacterial SSU rRNA". It matches the Rfam family "Bacterial small subunit ribosomal RNA", at positions 29 to 351 of the family's 1533-position model. The record is from RNAcentral. Lineage: Bacteria; Pseudomonadati; Planctomycetota.